UACGGAGGGUGCAAGCGUCAUCCGGAUUCACUGGGUUUAAAGGGAGCGUAGGCGGGCUUGUAAGUCAGUGGUGAAAUCUCCGGGCUUAACUCGGAAACUGCCAUUGAUACUAUAAGUCUUGAAUUAUCUGGAGGUAAGCGGAAUAUGUCAUGUAGCGGUGAAAUGCUUAGAUAUGACAUAGAACACCCAUUGCGAAGGCAGCUUACUACGGGUAUAUUGACGCUGAGGCUCGAAAAGCGUGGGGAUCAAACAGG
This 254-nucleotide ribosomal RNA is filed under the name uncultured bacterium. RNAcentral describes it as "partial 16S ribosomal RNA". It matches the Rfam family "Bacterial small subunit ribosomal RNA", at positions 524 to 776 of the family's 1533-position model. The record is from RNAcentral.